This 543-nucleotide ribosomal RNA is filed under the name uncultured Penicillium. RNAcentral's name for it is "SSU rRNA". It matches the Rfam family "Eukaryotic small subunit ribosomal RNA", at positions 655 to 1204 of the family's 1831-position model. Lineage: Eukaryota; Fungi; Ascomycota; Eurotiomycetes; Eurotiales; Aspergillaceae. The record is from RNAcentral.
CCGGUCCGCCUCACCGCGAGUACUGGUCCGGCUGGACCUUUCCUUCUGGGGAACCUCAUGGCCUUCACUGGCUGUGGGGGGAACCAGGACUUUUACUGUGAAAAAAUUAGAGUGUUCAAAGCAGGCCUUUGCUCGAAUACAUUAGCAUGGAAUAAUAGAAUAGGACGUGUGGUUCUAUUUUGUUGGUUUCUAGGACCGCCGUAAUGAUUAAUAGGGAUAGUCGGGGGCGUCAGUAUUCAGCUGUCAGAGGUGAAAUUCUUGGAUUUGCUGAAGACUAACUACUGCGAAAGCAUUCGCCAAGGAUGUUUUCAUUAAUCAGGGAACGAAAGUUAGGGGAUCGAAGACGAUCAGAUACCGUCGUAGUCUUAACCAUAAACUAUGCCGACUAGGGAUCGGACGGGAUUCUAUAAUGACCCGUUCGGCACCUUACGAGAAAUCAAAGUUUUUGGGUUCUGGGGGGAGUAUGGUCGCAAGGCUGAAACUUAAAGAAAUUGACGGAAGGGCACCACAAGGCGUGGAGCCUGCGGCUUAAUUCGACUCAAC